This 496-nucleotide ribosomal RNA is filed under the name uncultured bacterium. RNAcentral's name for it is "partial 16S ribosomal RNA". It matches the Rfam family "Bacterial small subunit ribosomal RNA", at positions 29 to 523 of the family's 1533-position model. The record is from RNAcentral.
AUUGAACGCUGGCGGCAUGCCCUACACAUGCAAGUCGAACGGUAGAGGGGGCAACCUCUCGAGAGUGGCGAACGGGUGAGUAAAGCAUCGGAACGUGCCCAGUAGUGGGGGAUAGCCCGGCGAAAGCCGGAUUAAUACCGCAUGAGACCUACGGGUGAAAGGGGGGGAUCGCAAGACCUCUCGCUAUUGGAGCGGCCGAUGUCAGAUUAGGUAGUUGGUGGGGUAAAGGCCUACCAAGCCGACGAUCUGGAGCUGGUCUGAGAGGACGACCAGCCACGCUGGUACUGAGACACGGCCCAGACUCCUACGGGAGGCAGCAGUGGGGAAUUUUGGACAAUGGGCGAAAGCCUGAUCCAGCCAUGCCGCGUGCGGGAAGAAGGCCUUCGGGUUGUAAACCGCUUUUGUCAGGGAAGAAAUCCUUUGAGUUAAUACCUCGGGGGGAUGACGGUACCUGAAGAAUAAGCACCGGCUAACUACGUGCCAGCAGCCGCGGUAA